GACGAACGCUGGCGGCGUGCCUAACACAUGCAAGUCGAGCGAGGAGAGUUCCUUCGGGAACAAACCUAGCGGCGGACGGGUGAGUAACACGUGGGCAACCUGCCUUGUAGAGGGGAAUAGCCUUCCGAAAGGAAGAUUAAUACCGCAUAACAUUACAGUUUCGCAUGAAACAGUAAUUAAAGGAGCAAUCCGCUACAAGAUGGGCCCGCGGCGCAUUAGCUAGUUGGUGAGGUAACGGCUCACCAAGGCGACGAUGCGUAGCCGACCUGAGAGGGUGAUCGGCCACAUUGGGACUGAGACACGGCCCAGACUCCUACGGGAGGCAGCAGUGGGGAAUAUUGCACAAUGGGGGAAACCCUGAUGCAGCAACGCCGCGUGAGUGAUGAAGGUUUUCGGAUCGUAAAGCUCUGUCUUCGGGGACGAUAAUGACGGUACCCGAGGAGGAAGCCACGGCUAACUACGUG
RNAcentral lists this ribosomal RNA (464 nucleotides) under uncultured bacterium. RNAcentral describes it as "bacterial SSU rRNA". It matches the Rfam family "Bacterial small subunit ribosomal RNA", at positions 28 to 507 of the family's 1533-position model. The record is from RNAcentral.